AACAAAAACAUGUCCUUUAGAUUUUAAUUUAAGGUCUAACCUGCCCAAUGAUUAAUUUAAUGGCCGCAGUAUUUUGACUGUGCAAAGGUAGCAUAAUCAUUUGUUUUUUAAUUGAAAGCUAGAAUGAAUGGUUGAACGAAAAAAAGACUGUCUUUAAUUAUUAAAUUGAAUUUAAUUUUUUAGUUAAAAAGCUAAAAUUUUAUUAAAAGACGAGAAGACCCUAUAGAUCUUUAUAAUAAUUUUUAUAAAUUUAAUUAAGUUUUUUUAAAAAAAAAUUGUAUUUAUUAUUAUUUUAUUGGGGUAAUAAAAAGAUAAAAUUAAUUCUUUUUUAUAUUUAAUAUAUAAUAAUAAUUUUAAGAUCCAUUAAUAAUGAAAUAUGAUUAAGUUACCUUAGGGAUAACAGCGUAAUUUUUUUAGAGAGUUCAUAUCGAUAAAAAAGUUUGCGACCUCGAUGUUG
Molecule: ribosomal RNA, 457 nt
Filed under: Laccophilus addendus
Lineage: Eukaryota; Metazoa; Arthropoda; Insecta; Coleoptera; Dytiscidae
Description: partial 16S ribosomal RNA
Rfam family: Bacterial large subunit ribosomal RNA
Source: RNAcentral